This 157-nucleotide small RNA is filed under the name Streptomyces sp. RNAcentral's name for it is "c-di-AMP sequence". It matches the Rfam family "c-di-AMP riboswitch aptamer (ydaO/yuaA leader)". From Rfam's summary of the family: This family represents a conserved RNA structure found upstream of the ydaO and yuaA genes in Bacillus subtilis and related genes in other bacteria. Lineage: Bacteria; Bacillati; Actinomycetota; Actinomycetes; Kitasatosporales; Streptomycetaceae. The record is from RNAcentral.
AAUUCCCACCCACCCAUACGUCGGCAGGAGCGGGGGACCCAGGUAGUACGCCGAUCCGUAACGUCCGGACGGCUUGGGGUGAAGUCGCGCAGCACACGCGGCCGGGCAACUCCAGCCCGAACCCGACAGCUCACCUCGCAGGCGCCGGAGAGGAAAA